This 460-nucleotide ribosomal RNA is filed under the name uncultured bacterium. RNAcentral describes it as "partial 16S ribosomal RNA". It matches the Rfam family "Bacterial small subunit ribosomal RNA", at positions 338 to 795 of the family's 1533-position model. The record is from RNAcentral.
CCUACGGGAGGCAGCAGUGAGGAAUAUUGGUCAAUGGGCGUAAGACUGAACCAGCCAAGCCGCGUGAGGGAUGAAGGUUCUGUGUAUCGUAAACCUCUUUUGUAAGGGAAUAAAGAGCGGGACGCGUCCCGUGUUGCAUGUACCUUAUGAAUAAGGAUCGGCUAACUCCGUGCCAGCAGCCGCGGUAAUACGGAGGAUGCGAGCGUUAUCCGGAUUUAUUGGGUUUAAAGGGUGCGUAGGCGGCCUUUUAAGUCAGCGGUGAAAGUCUGUGGCUCAACCAUAGAAUGGCCGUUGAAACUGGGAGGCUUGAGUUUGUGUGAGGCAGGCGGAAUGCGUGGUGUAGCGGUGAAAUGCUUAGAUAUCACGCAGAACCCCGAUUGCGAAGGCAGCCUGCCAGGCCAUGACUGACGCUGAUGCACGAAAGCGUGGGGAUCGAACAGGAUUAGAUACCCUGGUAGUC